AUGAUGUUCUCGAGCCAGGUCGACGCCUUCUCGCCGUCGCAGUUCCCCGCGUCGCAGAACGCCGCCGCCGACUCCACCCCCAACAAGGUCCCUUUCCUCCUCCCCUCCCCAGUCCCCGCUUUCUCUCGGUUUGGCUUCACAGUUCCGGGGCGCGUCGGGCACGAUGCCGCUGACCGUGAAGCAGAUCGCGGACGCGCGACUGGCCGGCACGGGGAAGAAGGGCUUGCCCUUGGUCGUCGACGGUGUCGAGACGGCCAACGUGAGCGAAGAAUCAUCCGCCAUGCGCCUCCGCUCGGCUCCGGGCCCGUCUGGAUCGGCUUCUUACCCUGUUGUUGUUUGGGGUUGGGGGAUCUGCAGGUCAGGCUCGUGGGGAUGCUGAGCGGCAAGGCGGAGCAGAACACGGACGUGUCCUUCACCCUCGACGGCACCGAGGCGACAUGCGGCGGGAUCCCGUGCGGCGGCGGGCCGCCAGAUGCUUGA
RNAcentral lists this ribosomal RNA (480 nucleotides) under Triticum aestivum (bread wheat). Its description in RNAcentral is "partial small subunit ribosomal RNA". Lineage: Eukaryota; Viridiplantae; Streptophyta; Magnoliopsida; Poales; Poaceae. The record is from RNAcentral.